GAGUAGUACUAGGAUGGGUGACCUCCUGGGAAGUCCUCGUGUUACACCCUU
Molecule: ribosomal RNA, 51 nt
Filed under: Chenopodium quinoa (quinoa)
Lineage: Eukaryota; Viridiplantae; Streptophyta; Magnoliopsida; Caryophyllales; Amaranthaceae
Source: RNAcentral